This 465-nucleotide ribosomal RNA is filed under the name Vreelandella stevensii. Its description in RNAcentral is "partial 16S ribosomal RNA". It matches the Rfam family "Bacterial small subunit ribosomal RNA", at positions 338 to 795 of the family's 1533-position model. The record is from RNAcentral. Lineage: Bacteria; Pseudomonadati; Pseudomonadota; Gammaproteobacteria; Oceanospirillales; Halomonadaceae.
CCUACGGGGGGCAGCAGUGGGGAAUAUUGGACAAUGGGGGCAACCCUGAUCCAGCCAUGCCGCGUGUGUGAAGAAGGCCCUCGGUUUGUAAAGCACUUUCAGUGAGGAAGAACGCCUGGUGGUUAAUACCCAUCAGGAAAGACAUCACUCACAGAAGAAGCACCGGCUAACUCCGUGCCAGCAGCCGCGGUAAUACGGAGGGUGCGAGCGUUAAUCGGAAUUACUGGGCGUAAAGCGCGCGUAGGUGGCUUGAUAAGCCGGUUGUGAAAGCCCCGGGCUCAACCUGGGAACGGCAUCCGGAACUGUCAAGCUAGAGUGCAGGAGAGGAAGGUAGAAUUCCCGGUGUAGCGGUGAAAUGCGUAGAGAUCGGGAGGAAUACCAGUGGCGAAGGCGGCCUUCUGGACUGACACUGACACUGAGGUGCGAAAGCGUGGGUAGCAAACAGGAUUAGAUACCCCAGUAGUC